RNAcentral lists this long non-coding RNA (2978 nucleotides) under Olea europaea subsp. europaea. The stretch from base 1218 to 1324 matches the Rfam family "small nucleolar RNA snoR126". Lineage: Eukaryota; Viridiplantae; Streptophyta; Magnoliopsida; Lamiales; Oleaceae. The record is from RNAcentral.
GGAAUGGCUAAACCUAAUCGGCUAUAUAUAGCUCCGUAUCAAGCAAGAAUCACCAGUUCUUUCUUGGCUUUUGGAUUUUGGAUAAAAUAACUGGUUAUUCUCCAAUUUCGGAUCUUUGCGUUUAUAACUUUAAUUUUUCUUGCAAUAUAAUUCUUAGAAGUUUUGACGAGUUGUUAUGAGGCGAUGAAGAUAGAAUUCAUUUCUCGAUGCUGAUAUAAUAGGGUUUUUGACCUUCCAUUUGGUCUUUNCCAUAAAUAGCAUUUCUUUUGUAAAAAUAAUCCAUGGGUUUUCAUCUAUAUUCUAUUACUUGAAUAAUUUACUAAAAUGGUGUAGGUUGUGUAAUUUUCACGAGGAAAUGAGAAGGGAAUGUUGGAACUUUGGGGGCCACACAUGUACAUUUAUUAGAAUGUGUGGUGCUAUUUUAAAGUAAAUAUAGUCGAUAAAGUGAUCCAUUGGAUUUAAUUUUGGACUAAUGGGUAUUAAAUUUUAUGGGAUUAAAGUGUAGAGACCAGAAGGUGUUAUUUUGAAUUGAUAAGGGGCCGAUUUGAAAUAACUUAAAGUUAAUAACUGCCAAUAGAAGUUAUUUUAAAAGUGGUUAUGGUCCCCAAUUUGAACGUGAUUUUUUUUACGAUAUCUCUGCAUCCCCAUCAACAGAGAUUUUUCGAGAAAACCAAAAGGAAGGAAAAUCACGUAUCAAUUGGAAGAUCAAAAUCCAAUUAAAGCAGUAAGAUUCAUGGAUCAAGGUAUGUUUCCGUACUUUUUUGUUGUCUCUUUAAUUUCAACAUGAAAUUUAUGAUUUUAUGAAAGAAUUUUAUGAAUAUGGUUCCUUUUAAAUUUAUGCAGCUGGAAAUUGCUUUCUAAAAUUAAAGGCCCAGUCAAACUGGUCUGUAUUCAUUGUGGACUGAGCCUGCUGACAGUACUGGACUUAAUUUCACUGUCAAGGUGUUGGUGUUGGACCUAUCAAUUAUCAUAGGAUAAAAAAAGUGUGCUGUGUCCGUUUGCCAGCCUAACGCAACCUUAACAACUAAACCUAGACGAACGGCUAAACCUAAUCGGCUAUAUAUAGCUCCGUACGUAGUAAGCAAGAAUCACCAGUUCUUUCUUGGUUUUUGGAUUUUGGAUAAAAUAACUGGUUAUUCUCCAAUUUCGGAUCUUUGCAUUUAUACCUUUAAUUUUUCUUGCAAUAUAAUUCUUAGAAAUUUUGACGAGUUGUUAUGAGGCGAUGAAGAUAGAAUUCAUUUCUCGAUGCUGAUAUAAUAAUAGGGUUUUUGACCUUCCAUUUGGUCUUUAAUUCUGAUGACCUAUUUGUGCGUGUCUGAGCCUCUUUCAAUUCAUUAUAAUCUAGCGUUUAUUUUCUCAUUUGAUGAUUAUGAUCACCUAUGAAUUUAUGAAGGGAUUUGCGAUUACUAAGAAAUGCAAGCCCUCUUUUAUAACACUUCUGUGCUGCAGGUUAAGAAGUGCCAGACACCACUGUUGAAGGUAUGUGUUUCAUCUUCAAUUGGCUUGAUUGUCUUAUGUAUUUCUGUUGCCAGUCUUCAACAAAAUUCUCACAUAUUCAAGUUUCAAGAUCUCAGCUUGUGAAUAUGUUUAAGAAUCGUUUCUUAUCUUCUAAAGAUUUUAACCAAUUUGAUUUCAUAUAUCGGCGAGCUUGGAUUAUGUGGUUUAUUGUAAAAAUAGAUGAAAAAUGAAGGAAAGAAAAAGGGUAAACAAGAAUUGAGAGAGAUGAUCUGUUUUAGGAACCUGCAAUUUAUCAAAGCAUUUAUGUCCAUUCUGUCUUAAACCAAAAUUUUAGUACAUCUUGAUUUUUGUUGAGUUUCAUACCAUCUCAACUUUUUGGGGCCUGCCUAGUCUGAAAUGAGAGCAAAUUGGUUGAAAUUUAUGAUAUAUGGUUUAUUGAAAUUGAUCUUCUUUCAAUGUGGAAAGACAACCGUAAUUAAGGUUCUCUUGUCAUGUUAGAAAAAUUUUAUCCUGUUGGGCAGGGGAUCGGACCUGAUAGUUGACCUAAUAAGUGUUGACAAAUGUAAUUAGUUGAAAAAAUUGACUAUAUUUUAAACAAUUCAAUGAUAGAUAGCCACGUGGCAUUAUAUCAAGUAAUAUGUCAGUCAUUAUGUCUAUGUCGCAUGAUUGUUGAUUUAUAUCAUAACACAUCAUGGUAUGCCACUGUCCACUUGGCUGCCAGCUAAGCAAGAGGCCACUUGAGCCUAGCCAGUCUAGCAGCAAGCCGUUGAGGCUUCGCCAGCCACUUUCUCCGAAGUGAUGUAGAGCCUCGCAAAGGCCCAUCAAGGCCUUGAACGGGGUACCUUCAGAAGCAAUGUACGUUACCCCGCCAACGUAUUCUCUGAGGCUAUUUGGAACCUCACCAAGGCCCAAUUAAGGGCUUCAGAGGAUACGUCUUCCCAAGUGAUGAAACUUGUGACUGGUUCGCCCCUUCCUUAUUCUGAGACGAUGAGGAGAGAAACAAUCAUCAGCCGUAAAAAAAAGCUCUUAAAUCCGAUUCAGUUGAGGUGUGCUCAUCUGCCUUGAACAAACUGUUAUUACUGGCACAUCGAGCAUUGUGUAAACAAAACUUGUUAUAUGCCACGCUUUAGUUCCGCCGAAGUUCAUUUUCCAAUAUCAUACACGUUAUUUGAAAUGAAUGAGUUGAGCAAUGUGAAAUGGUUUUAAACAUGUAUUGGUCUUCAUCGUUGUUCCAGUACAAAAUGUGAUUGUCCUCAAGCAAUCUUGUACUUUUUUCUUAUUGGUGUGUACAUGAGCAGUAUACCUGUAACACUCAAUUUCGGCUAAUGCACAAUUACAGCAACGGUAUAACGAAAGGGACCAGCUUUUGCGGGGGGUAAACACCCAACUUUUAUUACCAAAUAAAAAAUUUAGAAAGCUGAGGACCACCAAAAAAACAGGGUCUUGUGUUUCAUAACACAAAGUAUAAAUGAAAGAAGCAUGUUAGGCGCACAGCACUCUUUACACUUUCUUUGGACUUU